This 205-nucleotide ribosomal RNA is filed under the name uncultured bacterium. RNAcentral describes it as "partial 16S ribosomal RNA". It matches the Rfam family "Bacterial small subunit ribosomal RNA", at positions 1294 to 1500 of the family's 1533-position model. The record is from RNAcentral.
CGGAUCGCAGGCUGCAACCCGCCUGCGUGAAGUCGGAAUCGCUAGUAAUCGCGGAUCAGCAUGCCGCGGUGAAUACGUUCCCGGGCCUUGUACACACCGCCCGUCACACCAUGAGAGUCGGAACACCCGAAGUCCGUAGCCUAACUUUAACGAGGGGCGCGGCCGAAGGUGGUUCGAUAAUUGGGUGAAGUCGUAACAAGGUAAC